Molecule: transfer RNA, 86 nt
Filed under: Pseudocercospora eumusae
Lineage: Eukaryota; Fungi; Ascomycota; Dothideomycetes; Mycosphaerellales; Mycosphaerellaceae
Description: Mycosphaerella eumusae tRNA
Rfam family: tRNA
About the family: Transfer RNA (tRNA) molecules are approximately 80 nucleotides in length.
Source: Rfam by way of RNAcentral
GGUCGAUUAGCUCAGUUGGUUAGAGCGUGGUGCUAAUACGUUUCGUAUCAACGCCAAGGUCGCGGGUUCGACCCCCUCAUUGACCA